RNAcentral lists this long non-coding RNA (337 nucleotides) under Nicotiana benthamiana. RNAcentral describes it as "long non-coding RNA (NBEN_LNC020809)". Lineage: Eukaryota; Viridiplantae; Streptophyta; Magnoliopsida; Solanales; Solanaceae. The record is from RNAcentral.
AGGUUUCAACUGCACCAUUCACUUUCCCAUGAAGGUCAACUGACCACAAUCCUGUCAAGUCUUUCUGAACAACAAUGUCAUCAUCAAGAAAAAGGAUCUUAUUCAAUUUUGGAUAAACCUGAGGGAGAUAAAACCUUAGGUGAUUGAGCAUAGAAAGAUAUUUGGGGUUCCGGUACUUCAAAUUCAGGUGAUUAAGCAUUGAAAGAUAUUUGGGGUUCCGGUACUUCAAAUUAGAAGAACCAGCAGACAGGGUGUUGGGAUGAGCUGCUUUGAAAUAGUACUCCUUCAUAGCAGCAGAUUCAAGCUGCCGCAGAACAGGACAAUAUGAUGAAUUAAG